Molecule: ribosomal RNA, 671 nt
Filed under: Alexandrium sp. TK-Alex
Lineage: Eukaryota; Dinophyceae; Gonyaulacales; Pyrocystaceae
Description: LSU rRNA
Rfam family: Eukaryotic large subunit ribosomal RNA
Source: RNAcentral
UAAGUAGGCGGUGGAAAAUGAACCAAAUGGGAUUCCUUAAGUAAUUGCGAAUGAACAAGGAAAUGCUCAGCUUGAAAAAUGGGGCCUUAGGCUUUGAAUUGUAAUUUUGAAAUGUAUUGCCAAUGGAGGCGCAGGUGCAAGCCUAUUGAAAGAAAGCGUCAAUGAGGGUGAGAUUCCUUUUUGCCAUUUGCAGUCCUCUGUGCACGGUAUACAUUUGAUGAGUCACACUCCUCGGCAUUGGAAUGCAAAGUGGGUGGUAAAUUCCAUGUAAAGAUAAAUAUAUUAUUGAGACUGAUAGCAAACAAGUACCAUGAGGGAAAUAUGAAAAGGACUUUGAAAAGAGAAUUAAAAGAGUCUGCAUUUGCUGAACAGAAAGCAAACAGAAUUGGUGUACUUGGUGAGCUUGUUGAGCCCGCUUCUUCAUUUCUAUGUUGGAUUUGGGUGCGAUGGUUCUUACCUUGAAUGCCAGCGUCUAUUUCUACAAAGCAUUACCCUUGCACAUGAAUGGUAAUUUGCCUGCGGGUAUUGGAACGCAUGUGUUUUGCAAUGAUUUGUGAUUUGAUGCAUGUGUCUGGUGAACUUGUACGUUCUCCUUUGCCAUUGGAAAUUUUUUCCCUGAGGAUGGCAAGCCCUUACACAUUCAUGCUGGCAAAAUGUUUCUGCUUGACCCG